CCCUUAGAUGUCCUGGGCCGCACGCGCGCUACACUGAUGCAUUCAACGAGUUUUACCUUGGCCGAGAGGCCUGGGCAAUCUUUUGAACCUGCAUCGUGAUAGGGAUAGAUUAUUGCAAUUAUUAAUCUUGAACGAGGAAUUCCUAGUAAACGCAGAUCAUCAAUCUGCAUUGAUUACGUCCCUGCCCUUUGUACACACCGCCCGUCGCACCUACCAAUUGAAUGGUCCGGUGAAGCCUCGGGAUUGUGGCGAGUUCCCUUUAUUGGGAGUUUGUCGCGAGAACUUGUCUAAACCUUAUCAUUUAGAGGAAGGUGAAGUCGUAACA
This 325-nucleotide ribosomal RNA is filed under the name uncultured eukaryote. Its description in RNAcentral is "partial 18S ribosomal RNA". It matches the Rfam family "Eukaryotic small subunit ribosomal RNA", at positions 1470 to 1796 of the family's 1831-position model. The record is from RNAcentral.